AUCUUUUUUAACUCAUCGGUGACCUAUAUUUUUUAUUAUUGUUUUCAAACAAGCUGUACAUAAACUAAAUAAUUGUAAAAUUUAAGCGAUUUCUGUAAUUUAGUUCUUUUUUUAUUUCGAUAUUACCAAUAUUUCUCCUAUUAGUUCAACAGAAAAAAAGGACAUUAACAAAAAUGUAUGCUUCUUUCGGAGGCAGUUUGUGAGCUUAAAUGAACGGUGACCCCAUAUUUUUAUUUUAUAUUUCUAUUAGGUAUAAGAUAAAGUUUAA
RNAcentral lists this long non-coding RNA (268 nucleotides) under Mytilus galloprovincialis (Mediterranean mussel). Lineage: Eukaryota; Metazoa; Mollusca; Bivalvia; Mytilida; Mytilidae. The record is from RNAcentral.